Long non-coding RNA from Hibiscus syriacus, 465 nucleotides. RefSeq lists it as uncharacterized. NCBI's taxonomy places the organism in Eukaryota, Viridiplantae, Streptophyta, Magnoliopsida, Malvales, Malvaceae. The record is from RefSeq and is a predicted model, not a curated record. The transcript has 3 exons.
UUCUAUUUUGUUGUUUCUGACAUAAGAGGCAUUCCUCCAUGUUUUUCAGUUAUGAUGAGGCUGGACAAUAUACAUUAUUGUGUAGUUAUAUUUUUUUGUAUCUAAGUCGUGUGGUUUCUUAUGCAGGCUGAUGCUUCAGUGGAGGGCUGCCUCCAGUCUUCGGGUCUUGAAAAAUAUGCAAUAACUUUUCAAGCUAAGGAAGUUGAUAUGACUGCACUUGUGCACGUGACUGAUGAGGAUCUAAAAGCUUUAGGCAUACCAAUGGGCCCAAGAAAGAAAAUAAUUCAUGAAUUGGAGUCAAGAAGCUGAUAUUUGGAGAUCCAGCAACGAGUGGUCAUUGCUUGUUGAAUCGGAAGAUGAGUUAAUGGCCAAUCCUAGAAGAUUGCAAGGCUGUACUUUGGCAUAUAAGAGCCUCUGCAUAUGUAGCAAUUCUUAUUGGUAUUUCAUGUUCAGUUUUAUGAACAA